GCUUGCACCUUUCAAGCGAGUGGCGAACGGGUGAGUAACACGUGGAUAACCUGCCUCAAGGCUGGGGAUAACAUUUGGAAACAGAUGCUAAUACCGAAUAAAACUUAGUAUCGCAUGAUACAAAGUUGAAAGGCGCUACGGCGUCACCUAGAGAUGGGUCCGCGGUGCAUUAGUUAGUUGGUGGGGUAAAGGCCUACCAAGACAAUGAUGCAUAGCCGAGUUGAGAGACUGAUCGGCCACAUUGGGACUGAGACACGGCCCAAACUCCUACGGGAGGCUGCAGUAGGGAAUCUUCCACAAUGGGCGAAAGCCUGAUGGAGCAACGCCGCGUGUGUGAUGAAGGCUUUAGGGUCGUAAAGCACUGUUGUAUGGGAAGAAAUGCUAGAAUAGGGAAUGAUUCUAGUUCGACGGUACCAUACCAGAAAGGGACGGCUAAAUACGUGCCAGCAGCCGCGGUAAUACGUAUGUCCCGAGCGUUAUCCGGAUUUAUUGGGCGUAAAGCGAGCGCAGACGGUUGAUUAAGUCUGAUGUGAAAGCCCGGAGCUCAACUCCGGAAUGGCAUUGGAAACUGGUUAACUUGAGUGUUGUAGAGGUAAGUGGAACUCCUGUGUAAAACGG
Molecule: ribosomal RNA, 618 nt
Filed under: Leuconostoc lactis
Lineage: Bacteria; Bacillati; Bacillota; Bacilli; Lactobacillales; Lactobacillaceae
Description: bacterial SSU rRNA
Rfam family: Bacterial small subunit ribosomal RNA
Source: RNAcentral